Labeo rohita (rohu) is the source of this 2498-nucleotide RNA transcript. It is a transcript of the gene named calpain-2 catalytic subunit-like, with no coding region annotated. NCBI's taxonomy places the organism in Eukaryota, Metazoa, Chordata, Actinopteri, Cypriniformes, Cyprinidae. The record is from RefSeq and is a predicted model, not a curated record. The transcript is spliced from 14 exons.
CAGGGAAGACUGCAGUGUUCAUUUUCGCAGCUGUUCCAGCAGCAACUGUCAUUGUAUCACUUGCUUAUCAAAUUCAUUCUAUUUUAAGAAAAAGCUCUAGUAUCUUCUGCGAAAAGGCCAAGUGGACUUGCAGUCGCACCCUGUUUUUGAACUUGUGGGGACAGGAACAGAACAAACACCAGUAAGUUUGUUUACUCACAUAUGUGCUGACCAUGAGCCGGAGUGGAUCACAGAAAAGGGAAGUAUACUUUGAGCUCAUGUGCAAUUAGAAUGCCAGAAUAUCAGCAAUAUCUGCUACGCUGCUGCUGCGUCAGAGCAAGUACAGAGACUCGCUACUGCUAAUACAUCCACAACAUGCUGCUGUGAGCAUGAUUCUGAGUGAAAAAUGCUUCCCCAUGAUGGAUUCCACCACCACAACCCAAAUGAAGAUGAUGUGAAUUCUCCUUCCAAUCCUUUGAACUUCCUGGAUCAGGACUACCAGGAACUGCACCAGAACUGUCUCACUGAAAACAAACUAUACAAUGACGAGUUGUUCCCUCCAGACAACAGCUCCAUUGGCUUGUUUGAUGAUCUGCCGGAUGAGGUGGAUUUGUCCCAAGUUGUAUGGAAGCGGCCAUCCGAGUUGGUGUCAAACCCUAAUUUAUUUGUAGAUGGCAUGUCCAGGUUUGAUUAUGCACAGGGAAGUGUAUUAGGAAACUGUUGGUUCUUGUCUGCAAUUGGAGCUUUAACCUUUGAGAAGGAUAUCAUAAAACAAGUCAUACCAGCUAAACAGUCUUUUACCAAGGAUUAUGCUGGGAUAUUUCACUUCAGGUUCUGGCGAUUUGGGAAAUGGAUCGAUGUUGUUAUUGAUGACCAGCUUCCAACUUUGGAUGAUGAGCUGCUUUUUGUGUGUUCAAAAACAUCUAAUGAGUUUUGGCCUGCCUUGCUGGAGAAAGCUUAUGCAAAGGUGUGUGGCUCCUAUGCUGACUUGAACGCCGGUUUCAUAUCUGAGGCCCUGAUGGAUUUCACUGGUGGGACACAUAUGUAUUAUGCACUGAAUACGGCUCCUGAUAAUUUGUGGAAAAUCAUGGAAUGUGCGUUCAAGUCCAAAACGCUUAUGGGCUGUGGCUCUCAUACAGUGACAACACCUGAAGAAAAAGAGUUACUUCAUGGCAUAGUUGAAGAGCAUGCUUAUACUGUGACGGGGGUUUACGAGGUGAUGAGUGAUGAAAAUCCAGUCCAGCUGGUGAGAUUGUUAAACCCAUGGGGUGAAGAAGAGUGGAAAGGAGACUGGUGUGAUGGAUCACCCUUGUGGGACACAGUUUGUGAGGAAGUCCGCAACAUUUGCCAUGAAGUUUUAAAUAACGGAGAGUUUUGGAUGUCAAUGGAAGACUUUACCAACAUUUUUGAAAGCAUAGAUAUAUGCUGUCUAUGUCCUGAUUUUCUGGAUGGUUCUGCUGAAUGUCACUGGACCUCAAAGCGACAUUUUGGCAGAUGGAAUGCUGGGAAAACAGCAGGUGGUGACAUAAUUAAGACAGAGACUUUCUGGACAAACCCUCAGUUUCGGGUGGAAAUCAAUGAGCUUAAUGAGGAAUGUGCUAGGGGCCAGAGUCCUGAAAAUAUACUGGUGUCCCUCAUGCAGAACCAUGAGAAGAGAAACAGAAAUAGCCAAGACCAUUUUAAUAUUGGUUUCUAUGUUUUUGAGAUACCACUGGAGGCAAGUGAAAAUCAACCUAAAUAUUAUGCUCUUAUGGUGCUUUCAAGAAGAUUUUUUGUAUAUUCAUUCUUUUAAAUAGACUAAAGACACGUUUUAUUAUUCUCUUUUAGAUGAGAAGUCAAAGUGGGAGGUUUUCUUCUGAGUUCUUCAUUGACAGAGAGCCUGUGGCACAGACUGAUGAAUUAGACUGGUGUAGAGAGGUGAUGAAAUUCUUCAGGCUGGAACCGGGAGAGUACCUGAUUGUCCCGUGCACAAAGAAUCCUGGUGAAACUGCCUCCUUCGUCCUGUCCAUUUUCUCAAAGAAUGAGACACACUUUGAAUUUAUUCAAGAAACUCCUGAGCACAAUGGAGACUGAAAGAUCUAAAUAUCCUCAAAUGCAAACUUUUGUGUUCUGCCACGACCCACGUUUACUGACCAGCCAAUAACAAUGCAACAUGAAACCAAUGUGACAAGGCACCUAAAACUUCAAACUGCUUACCUCAAGUUCUUAUUCCUUCCUCUUUCACGGCUUCCACUUUUUUUCCAGCACACAUAAAAACUACAACCGCCAAAGUGUGAUUCAUUAUGCUCUUUUUGUUUACCACUAGCACAUGCUGAUGACGUUUUAUUCUUCUAUAGUAAUGUGCAUCGUAGCCUACGAGUCAAUAGGUGUCAUCAUCGUACAGUUUACAUGCAUGUCCUACCCAAGUAUAUUAGAUCCAUGUCGCACAGUGUGAUUAGCAAUGAUCUUAUAGGAUUGCUAAAAUCGUGCGGUGUAUAGAAGGCUUAAGACUAUUCAAUAAACUUAUUUGCUUAUUUGUA